UGGCCCGUUCGACUUCGGGUGAGGUCAUCGGUUUCUCAAGCCGAGCAGGUAGGGUUCGACUCCCACACGGGCUAU
Molecule: transfer RNA, 75 nt
Filed under: Gimesia aquarii
Lineage: Bacteria; Pseudomonadati; Planctomycetota; Planctomycetia; Planctomycetales; Planctomycetaceae
Description: tRNA-Glu
Rfam family: tRNA
About the family: Transfer RNA (tRNA) molecules are approximately 80 nucleotides in length.
Source: RNAcentral